This 415-nucleotide long non-coding RNA is filed under the name Setaria italica (foxtail millet). RNAcentral's name for it is "long non-coding RNA (SITA_LNC002165)". The record is from RNAcentral. Lineage: Eukaryota; Viridiplantae; Streptophyta; Magnoliopsida; Poales; Poaceae.
ACGAUUGAGGAGGGCAGCAACAAGGGCAUCAUCGUGCUCGUCACCAGCCAGAAGGAGGGCGCCAUCACCGGCGGCCCCGCCUUCGUCCAGGCCGUCGGCGACCAGAUCCUCGACGCCACCGUCUCCGAGAACCUCCCAGGUACUUAGGCCGGCCGUCGAGCAUGUGUGUCACUUACACGUCGACACUUAGGAUGGCCUCAGAUCCUGAACCUGUUACCUGCAGUGCUGGCGACGGACGAGAAGUACAACGAGGCGAUCUUCAGCACGGCGAAGCGGCUGGCGGCGGCGAUCGACGGGCUGCCGGACACGGGCGGCCCGUCGUUCAAGGAGAACAAGAGGGAGUCCAACUUCAAGACCAAGGAGGAGACGGAGGAGAAGCGCGGGCAAUUCACGCUCGUCGUCGGAGGCCUGCUCG